Molecule: small nucleolar RNA, 138 nt
Organism: Tachyglossus aculeatus (Australian echidna)
Lineage: Eukaryota; Metazoa; Chordata; Mammalia; Monotremata; Tachyglossidae
Source: RefSeq, a predicted model, not a curated record
CCCCUCUCAGGACUUUACCAGGAGAGUUUCCACUACUCUACCAGCCUCGGCUAAAGGAGGGAGAGUCAAGCAGAGACCUAUCCAUUCCAUUCCUAGCUUGGGCAAUGGCUAGCAAAUGGAAAGCAUUCUGCUAAAAGU